RNAcentral lists this transfer RNA (73 nucleotides) under Rhodospirillum rubrum ATCC 11170. It matches the Rfam family "tRNA". Rfam says of the family: Transfer RNA (tRNA) molecules are approximately 80 nucleotides in length. Their secondary structure includes four short double-helical elements and three loops (D, anti-codon, and T loops). The record is from Rfam by way of RNAcentral. Lineage: Bacteria; Pseudomonadati; Pseudomonadota; Alphaproteobacteria; Rhodospirillales; Rhodospirillaceae.
GGGCGUAUAGCUCAGUUGGUAGAGCAGCUGACUCUUAAUCAGCGGGUCGUAGGUUCGAAUCCUACUGCGCCCA